This 82-nucleotide small RNA is filed under the name Streptomyces albus subsp. albus DSM 41398. Its description in RNAcentral is "nrdJ RNA". It matches the Rfam family "nrdJ RNA". The record is from Rfam by way of RNAcentral. Lineage: Bacteria; Bacillati; Actinomycetota; Actinomycetes; Kitasatosporales; Streptomycetaceae.
UUUUGCUGCGGGCGGGCUCAGUGAUGCCCGCGGCAUCGAUUCAACAAUGUGUCACGGGAAGAACGCGGCACUUCGGGGCGUU